CAGCCGCCACGGUAAUACGGAGGGGGCUAGCGUUGUUCGGAAUUACUGGGCGUAAAGCGCGCGUAGGCGGCUUGGUAAGUUAGAGGUGAAAGCCUGGGGCUCAACCCCAGAAUUGCCUUUAAGACUGCCGAGCUAGUAGGUGAGAGAGGUAAGUGGAAUUCCGAGUGUAGAGGUGAAAUUCGUAGAUAUUCGGAAGAACACCAGUGGCGAAGGCGGCUUACUGGCUCAUUCUAGACGCUGAGGUGCGAAAGCGUGGGGAGCAAACAGGAUUAGAUACCCCCGUAGUCCCUGUCUCUUAUAC
Molecule: ribosomal RNA, 301 nt
Filed under: uncultured bacterium
Lineage: Bacteria
Description: partial 16S ribosomal RNA
Rfam family: Bacterial small subunit ribosomal RNA
Source: RNAcentral